RNAcentral lists this ribosomal RNA (279 nucleotides) under uncultured bacterium. RNAcentral's name for it is "partial 16S ribosomal RNA". It matches the Rfam family "Bacterial small subunit ribosomal RNA", at positions 506 to 784 of the family's 1533-position model. The record is from RNAcentral.
UGCCAGCCGCCGCGGUAAUACGGAGGAUCCAAGCGUUAUCCGGAAUUAUUGGGUUUAAAGGGUCCGCAGGCUGUUUGUUAAGUCAGGGGUGAAAUCCUACCGCUCAACGGUAGAACUGCCUUUGAUACUGGCAAACUUGAGUUAUUGUGAAGUAGUUAGAAUGUGUAGUGUAGCGGUGAAAUGCAUAGAUAUUACACAGAAUACCAAUUGCGAAGGCAGAUUACUAACAAUUAACUGACGCUGAGGGACGAAAGCGUGGGUAGCGAACAGGAUUAGAUA